RNAcentral lists this long non-coding RNA (282 nucleotides) under Cyanistes caeruleus (blue tit). RNAcentral describes it as "lncRNA (ENSCCEG00000022421.1)". The record is from RNAcentral. Lineage: Eukaryota; Metazoa; Chordata; Aves; Passeriformes; Paridae.
CUGAGCUCAGAGUCCUUCAGGAACCUCUGGAGACAUUUGGUGAUGAAAUCACAUAUUGGUGAUGAAAUCCCAGAAAAGAAGAAUUUAGAAAUCAAAAGUUUGUGCAGGUUUUGGGAAAGAAAAAUAUCAGAUGGGGAGAAGACAUCUCAGGAAAUUAAACCAAAGAAGGGAAUAGAAGGGGAAGGAGGCGGAUGUCACCUGGCUGUUUGUUUCUGCAAGCACAGAGCACAUUUUCAACAUACCCUGGAAUAACAGAGCUUUAUAAGGUAUGGAUGAAUCCCC